UAACAACAUUUGGUAAUGUUAAAGGCAUGC
This 30-nucleotide non-coding RNA is filed under the name Rattus norvegicus (Norway rat). Lineage: Eukaryota; Metazoa; Chordata; Mammalia; Rodentia; Muridae. The record is from RNAcentral.